AAAAUUACUGCAUCAGUGCGGUGUGGCAUGUAGGGAAUCAGCCUGUGGCACUGCUGAGGUGUUCUGGAAGCCCAGGUUACUUUGAUAGCGACCUUCAACUUGUCUGUAUUGUUGGGUCUGGUGUCUCUCAUUUUCCUCUUGGCAAUACUCCACAGAGUCUCAAUAAAUCUGCCAACAAAAUAACAAAUCUCAAAACAAAUGAACAAAACAGACAAAACGGAAAAGGUAGGUAGGCCUAUAGUUAGCGAAUGGAAUACUGACCGCUGAUUGGGCGAGGCAUCUAUCAAUCAAGAUAUACAGGAAGUACAGCAGGCUACGGCAGUGGGAAGUUGAUUAGUUUGUGGAUUAAAAUAUGGCGUUCUGCUAAAUUUCUGCAGUUCAUCUGGAAAAAAUCUGGAGGUUUUAAAAGAGACGAUAUAAAACGACUGCGCCCGUGUCCACCAGUGGUGUGCAGAGCGAGGCUUCGUGGUACACUGAAACAGGACAAGCAAAUGUGCCAUAUUGUCUCGAGGCUUCGAAACAAUCCGACACCCGUCUCCACGGUGACACCUAGUGGUCACUUGCAGGUGUUGCUAUGAAACAACCUUGACAACGAUUCAGAUAAGCCUUAACGAAUUAUAACCCACAUGUUGUUUGUGUCAAACAAGGAAGUGUGUGGGGGAGUCGAUGGUGUUUUCAAAUGGUAUGCUGCUGCCUUGGGUUUGAAUCCUGGGUGAAGUGUGCCUGUCCACAUCAUUGUAAUUCGGUGGGAUUUCAUGUCAGAUUAUUAACAAGGCAUCCUGAGGCAAGCACUGAGCAGGGAUCAGUCCAAACACUAUUGAAUAAUUUCAGUUUUAUAAACUUACAUUAUAAAACUGACCGGAGAACAGUUCAAAUUAUUUAUUAAACACUGGUUCAUUGGUUCACCUGGAGAUCAACACAAAGAAGAAGAAGCUGAAAAUGAAGCAAGCAAAUAGCAAGUUGAAGCUGCUGGUGUCUUUGAUGUCUGAACGGCGAGAGCUUAAAAACGCCUACAAGAAUGUUGAUAAGAGGGAGUUGUUGUGGCAAGGAAUUUCCAAAGAAAUAGGAUUCGAUGCUAACCCAAAACCAGGAGAAAAACGAACCAACAUAAAUGGCUCCGACUUCCUACUAACCACUAUUACCAGUGCACUAUUUGCAAAGGUGAAUAUUAAUGUGUGUUAGAUAACAAAGAGCAUAAAUAAAGUCACAAACAGGCAGAAGGUCAUACACAGGUUAAAUCAACAUACGUAAAGAACUCCUUAAACACAAAGCAAUGGCAAUGAUCUGCCAGGGGAUGGAGACUGACGCGCCUUAAGUACACCUCCGGAAACGUGCAGCCAACCAAUCCUAUUGCACAAGGCCGGAGCAGGCGUGGACAAGAUGUGAUCAUCCAGUGGCAAGCCAGAACGUGACACAUACAGUAGGUGGGGCCUAGAGAAGAGGGAGGAGACAAAAAGCAACCAUCCCACCACUGCCAUAGACACACGAAUGGCAUUUCGAGCAAACAUAAAUACACUGAAGAACGUAACAAGAAUGCAAGAAGAAUGGAAUGCAACAUGUUUUACAUGUAAAAUAAAACACGUUAUUUCAACCUAGUUCUCUUGUUCAAAGUAGUUAUAGUGUUCAGAAACAUUUGUGAUAUUUCAUGUUCCAUACCUGUCCAUUAUAUAGUUUUAUAAAAGUCAUAAAAGUUAUAAAACAAUCAUAAAAGUUUUUUUCACAAAAACACAAAAGCAAAAAAAAUCUAUCAAAACAGAUUAUACAAAUAUAUGUGGAUUACCUUAACUUGUACACACAGGAAUAAUAAAAAUACAUACAUAUGUAAUACAUAUGUAAUUAUUUUGAAAAAUCAACCAAAGGACAGACAAAGAAUUUCUUGAUUUAUUUCAACAUUUAUUUCAACUGCAAAUAUCACAACCCUCUUUUGAACUCUUCACUUUCCUAGCUUUGCAGGCCUGUAAAAUAUUCUAAUGAUACAUUUGUAGUCCAACAUCCUUGGCGACCUAAGGCUGUGUUCACACAAAUUUUUGGAAGCAAACAGCACCUGAUUUGCAUAAUAAUCUUAUGGAGUAGACCAUAUUUUCAAAAAUGAACUAAGCUUCUUUUGGGAUGCGCUCAACUGCAUUUUGCAACAGCAUUUUAUUUUAUAUGAAAAAACGCUUUGAUCUGCGAUUUUCAUCAGAAAAAGACAUUACGUGCGAACACAGCCUAACUUUGUUUAGCUACCAAGCCCUGUUAAAUACUAAGCUUAGUUCUGUUGAGGUAUGUUUAUGUAACCUCAACUAACUAGCUUCACUGGCU
Ictalurus punctatus (channel catfish) is the source of this 2301-nucleotide long non-coding RNA. Lineage: Eukaryota; Metazoa; Chordata; Actinopteri; Siluriformes; Ictaluridae. The record is from Ensembl.